This 492-nucleotide ribosomal RNA is filed under the name uncultured bacterium. RNAcentral describes it as "partial 16S ribosomal RNA". It matches the Rfam family "Bacterial small subunit ribosomal RNA", at positions 29 to 507 of the family's 1533-position model. The record is from RNAcentral.
AGUGAACGCUGGCGGUAGGCCUAACACAUGCAAGUCGAACGGCAGCACAGUAAGAGCUUGCUCUUACGGGUGGCGAGUGGCGGACGGGUGAGGAAUACAUCGGAAUCUACUUUUUCGUGGGGGAUAACGUAGGGAAACUUACGCUAAUACCGCAUACGACCUACGGGUGAAAGCAGGGGAUCUUCGGACCUUGCGCGAUUGAAUGAGCCGAUGUCGGAUUAGCUAGUUGGCGGGGUAAAGGCCCACCAAGGCGACGAUCCGUAGCUGGUCUGAGAGGAUGAUCAGCCACACUGGAACUGGGACACGGUCCAGACUCCUACGGGAGGCAGCAGUGGGGAAUAUUGGACAAUGGGCGCAAGCCUGAUCCAGCCAUACCGCGUGGGUGAAGAAGGCCUUCGGGUUGUAAAGCCCUUUUGUUGUGAAAGAAAAGCAGCAGGUUAAUACCCCGCUGUUCUGACGGUACCCAAAGAAUAAGCACCGGCUAACUUCGUG